RNAcentral lists this ribosomal RNA (1460 nucleotides) under uncultured bacterium. RNAcentral's name for it is "16S ribosomal RNA". It matches the Rfam family "Bacterial small subunit ribosomal RNA". The record is from RNAcentral.
GAUGAACGCUAGCGACAGGCUUAACACAUGCAAGUCGAGGGGCAGCGGUGGUGAAGGCUUGCCUUUACCAGCCGGCGACCGGCGCACGGGUGAGUAACACGUAUGCAACCUGCCUGCCACAGCCGGAUAAUCGGGAGAAAUUCCGUCUAAUACGGCAUAAUGCACCUAUGGGACAUCCUGUUGGUGCCAAAGGUUGAUUCCGGUGGCGGAUGGGCAUGCGUCGCAUUAGUUAGUUGGCGGUGUAACGGACCACCAAGACGACGAUGCGUAGGGGUUCUGAGAGGAAGGUCCCCCACACUGGUACUGAGACACGGACCAGACUCCUACGGGAGGCAGCAGUGAGGAAUAUUGGUCAAUGGGCGGGAGCCUGAACCAGCCAAGUCGCGUGAGGGAUGACGGCCCUAUGGGUUGUAAACCUCUUUUGCCGGGGAGCAAAGUGCCGCACGUGUGCGGUUUGGAGAGUACCCGGAGAAAAAGCAUCGGCUAACUCCGUGCCAGCAGCCGCGGUAAUACGGAGGAUGCGAGCGUUAUCCGGAUUUAUUGGGUUUAAAGGGUGCGUAGGCGGACGCUUAAGUCAGCGGUAAAAUUGCGGGGCUCAACCUCGUCGAGCCGUUGAAACUGGGUGCCUUGAGUGGGCGAGAAGUACGCGGAAUGCGUGGUGUAGCGGUGAAAUGCAUAGAUAUCACGCAGAACUCCGAUUGCGAAGGCAGCGUACCGGCGCCCAACUGACGCUGAAGCACGAAGGCGUGGGUAUCGAACAGGAUUAGAUACCCUGGUAGUCCACGCAGUAAACGAUGAAUGCUAGUUGUCCGGGGCGAUUGAGUUCUGGGUGACACAGCGAAAGCGUUAAGCAUUCCACCUGGGGAGUACGCCGGCAACGGUGAAACUCAAAGGAAUUGACGGGGGCCCGCACAAGCGGAGGAACAUGUGGUUUAAUUCGAUGAUACGCGAGGAACCUUACCCGGGCUCAAACGCAGGAGGGAUGUUUUUGAAAGGAGGCAGCCAGCAAUGGUCUCCUGCGAGGUGCUGCAUGGUUGUCGUCAGCUCGUGCCGUGAGGUGUCGGCUUAAGUGCCAUAACGAGCGCAACCCCUACCUACAGUUGCCAUCGCGUGAUGGCGGGCACUCUGUGGGGACUGCCUGCGCAAGCAGUGAGGAAGGCGGGGAUGACGUCAAAUCAGCACGGCCCUUACGUCCGGGGCGACACACGUGUUACAAUGGCAGGUACAGCGGGAAGCCACCCGGCGACGGGGCGCGGAACCCGAAAACCUGUCUCAGUUCGGAUUGGAGUCUGCAACCCGACUCCAUGAAGCUGGAUUCGCUAGUAAUCGCGCAUCAGCCACGGCGCGGUGAAUACGUUCCCGGGCCUUGUACACACCGCCCGUCAAGCCAUGGAAGCCGGGGGUGCCUGAAGUGCGUGACCGCAAGGAGCGCCCUAGGGUAAAACCGGUGACUGGGGCUA